UGAAGGAUUCUUUAUCAUUGUGAGAGAGGGCAAAUUUGGGAAUUUUUGCAUUUAACUCUAUAAAAAUGGCCAGAGUCUUUAGUAAAAAAUUACACAAAAGGAUCUCAAUGAGUUUUAUGAGGUGUCAAAGGUUGAUCCUGAUCCAGACAAAAUUCCGGAUACUGUGAUCCAGAACACACAAAAAUAAGGGUGUCAUUGGAAUUUUCAAUGCUGAAAGAUAACCAAUGGGCGGCACAGUGGUGUAGAUGGGUGGCACAGUGGUGUAGUAGUUAGCACUGUCGCCUCACAACCAGAAGGUCAUGGGUUCGAAUCCGGGUCAGGGCAUUUCUUGUUUUAGGAACAUUAUGAACAGUGAACAUACCAGUUUAAACACAAAUAAACGUUAAUAAAAGACACGUAACAGUAAAAGUUUUGGUGUGAAUCACAAUUUAAGGGGGGACAUGACCUGCUUGGCGGAGGUCUGCGCUCUCCGAGUGCUUUUCUAGUUAUCUGAUUAUUUUUUGCUUAAAAACGACUGAAAUGACUGAUUAUCAAACUGCUGCAAAACUUAAUUCUAACUGACUGUGAAGGUAAUCCUAUUCUUGCAAUAUUUCCAGGAUGGCAAAGUCCCUAAUUUUACGGGUCAAACAAGUUGCUUAUUAAGCAAAACAGAAGACAUACAAUCAGUGUUGGGGGUAACCAUAGACUGUACACUCACCGGCCACUUUAUUAGGUACACCAUGCUAGUAACGGGUUAGACCCCCUUUUGCCUUCAGAACUGCCUCAAUUCUUCGUGGCAUAGAUUCAACAAGGUGCUGGAAGCAUUCCUCAGAGAGCUUGGUCCAUAUUGACAUGAUGGCAUCACACAGUUGCCGCAGAUUUGUCGGCUGCACAUCCAUGAUGCGAAUCUCCCGUUCCACCACAUCCCAAAGAUGCUCUAUUGGAUUGAGAUCUGGUGACUGUGGAGGCCAUUUGAGUACAGUGAACUCAUUGUCAUGUUCAAGAAACCAGUCUGAGAUGAUUCCAGCUUUAUGACAUGACGCAUUACCCUGCUGAAAGUAGCCAUCAGAAGUUGGGUACAUUGUGGUCAUAAAGGGAUGGACAUGGUCAGCAACAAUACUCAGGUAGGCUGUGGCGUUGCAACGAUGCUCAAUUGGUACCAAGGUGCCCAAAGAGUGCCAAGAAAAUAUUCCCCACACCAUGACACCACCACCACCAGCCUGAACCGUUGAUACAAGGCAGGAUGGAUCCAUGCUUUCAUGUUGUUGACGCCAAAUUCUGACCCUACCAUCCGAAUGUCGCAGCAGAAAUUGAGACUCAUCAGACCAGGCAACGUUUUUCCAAUCUUCUAUUGUCCAAUUUCGAUGAGCUUGUGCAAAUUGUAGCCUCAGUUUCCUGUUCUUAGCUGAAAGGAGUGGCACCCGGCGUGGUCUUCUGCUGCUGUAGCCCAUCUGCCUCAAAGUUCGACGUACUGUGCGUUCAGAGAUGCUCUUCUGCCUACCUUGGUUGUAACGGGUGGUUAUUUGAGUCACUGUUGCCUUUCUAUCAGCUCGAACCAGUCUGGCCAUUCUCCUCUGACCUCUGGCAUCAACAAGGCAUUUCCGCCCACAGAACUGCCACUCACUGGAUAUUUUUUCUUUUUCGGACCAUUCUCUGUAAACCCUAGAGAUGGUUGUGCGUGAAAAUCCCAGUAGAUCAGCAGUUUCUGAAAUACUCAGACCAGCCCUUCUGGCACCAACAACCAUGCCACGUUCAAAGUCAAUCAAAUCACCUUUCUUCCCCAUACUGAUGCUCGGUUUGAACUGCAGGAGAUUGUCUUGACCAUGUCUACAUGCCUAAAUGCACUAAGUUGCCGCCAUGUGAUUGGCUGAUUAGAAAUUAAGUGUUAACGAGCAGUUGGACAGGUGUACCUAAUAAAGUGGCCGGUGAGUGUAUAUACUAUGGACAACUUGCUCCCGCCUUCUGCUAGGAUAUGGAUUUAAAGGCAAAAAGCUCUAAGUAUUUCCAGGUUUUUUCUCCACUUCCUGAAACCAACAUUGCGCAGUAGUGUUGUACACACUUGGCUGGAGAGUCGCAGAGAGUCGUUGUGAUGACGCUCUGCUCAAACAGCGCAUCCUCCGGGUGAGCUACGCAAUCUUCGUAUGCCCAUAGGCUGUAAUCAAGUGUCAAUCAUAGAAAACAUGAACACCCGCUGCACAGAAAAAAGAGGACUUGAGCACAAACCAGUCUUACAGUAACUACAUGUCAACAUCACAAGCAGGGGGAGAAAAAUCUAUAUCCUGUGUAACUAAUUUCUAAAGUUUGUCCACAGCUUCAUAGGGAUUGCUGGAGGAGGAGGGAUUUAUGACCUAGACUGCAGCCUGUCACCAGAGGGUGCUGUUUUUACUGUGGCUUCACCCAGCAAGGAGGCAGACGGCGUUCAUUCUAUAUACAGUUGAUGGGGGCAACACACUACAAAGUAAGUGAUUACAGUUAGAAUAGCACUUUUUGGGGGGAACGAAGUUAAGUAACACACUACACUAACAAAUCUGUAACUUAAUUACUUUACUAUACAAUAGGAAUGCGCCUUUCUGCGUUACAUUAGCUGUGUCUCCCUGUGUGCAAAGUUCUGAUCUGUUGAGGUGGUUCAUGUUUGUGUGCUACAUGUGUGUCUGUGAUAAUAGGCAGGGGUUUGGUGCUCAUAAGGAUUAAUCUUUAGCUUGUCUCUGUACGCUCUUCUUUCACAGGAUUAAUUUUUCUUGGGUGUUUUUUUUCUCACUGUGUCGCUAUUUCGCAGCCUCCCUGUCGAAUGUAAACAAAAAGUUGCCUGCAAAGAUGCCACUUUCCGACCCAACAUACAUUACGCAGUCAUGUGGCCUUUGAAAGUCCGAUGCAGAGAUGGAUUUGAGUGACAUAGCUGCUACUUACUUUGGCUAUAUUAGUCAAAAGGACACAAAUAUUCGUGUGAAAUUAAGUCUAUGCUCAGGCGACAUUUAUACAGUAAACAAAAUUAUGUGGACUAUGCUCAGUGAUGAUUGGGCUAUGAUGUUUGUCCAUGUACCUCUACAGGAAAUAAAGAAAUGGGGAAGUAAAGUAAUAAGCAGUGAAGUUACUUUCCGAAUGCAGUAUCUUAUUACGAUUAACUAAUUAAUGAGUAACUAGUUACUGGUGACAGACUUUUUGUGAGUAACUACGCCAACACUGCAUACAAUAUAGCACAGGUGUAACAGGACCUCAACAGUCAGCUAGAAUAAUUAAACACACAACGACUGAAAUUGGAGAGGCGAAAAAUUAACAUAAAUAGCAUUUCUGAAAAACACAGGAUGCUCUCUGUCUUCCAUGUCUCUUUCUUGAUAUCUGGUGCAGUUAAUAAUGAUAUGUUCACCUGUUUGCAUCCCACACAUGGAGGAAAUCUAGGCCAGCCAAGCCAACCAGUUAAGCAAUUGUCUUUUUUCUUGCUUUUUUCUGAUAUUAUCUUGAAUAAAUAAUUAAAGCGAUGAACUCUUACUUUCCUUCCCUUGCAACUUGUUUAUGUGUAAUAAGCAAGCUGUAGACUAGAAGUCUGAGCCUUUUCAGAGGAUGCAGAUCAAGCCAGCACUUUAAUACUCCAUCAGUGGCGGCUGCUGGUCUUUCAAGGAGGGGAAGCUAAUUUUUUUUCUGGCCUACAUCAUAAAUGUGUUUGUUUAUUUAUAUGUAAAUUCUACCCUCUGUUCCUUUUCAACAAAAUGAUCUGUGACCCUGUUGUGGCAGAGGAGGGUCGCCAAACACAACACUAGUCGUUUUUAACAAAGACAAAGUCGCUAGAGCUCAGUAAAGUCUCUGAAUCAGUUUGGAACAACAGAAUGAAAAAAUUGGAAAAUGCUCCAGUGGAUGUUUAUACUGAUUCGCUAAUUUAGCUGUCAAUCAAAAAGGGAUUGCGUCUCAGACGGACCAGCCCAUUGACCCAUAGACCCCCAGAGAUGCUGCGCGUUCUUGGGCGGGACAAACCCAAGCAUUUAUCCAAUGACUGUCCAGUUUCAUGUAAUGGAAAAACGCACUCUACGGUUCCCCAUUGAAGUCAGUAGACACCCAGCAUCAGACUGUGUAAAGCACUGUGGCGCUGCAGGAAUGAAUGAGAAGGAAGUAGUGUCGGUUUUCUGUGAUAAUUAGCUGAUUCUGAACAAAAUGCGUUCUGGCGCAUAGUUCCUUUUAGAAAGAGUGCCUUUAGUCAAGCCACUUUUUCUGUUCGUGCUUCUCACACCUGGAAUUCAAUACCAAACACAAUACGUGAACUCCCGACUCUGACCUCUUUUACCAAACAUCCUAAAGCUUGGCUAUUGGAAGAACAACACUGUUGCCACAACCGUGCCUGAACAUGUAUAUUUGUUUAAUGCUAGCUAAUUGUUGGGGUACCAUCCGCAAUUUCUACAGAGUACAUACAUAAACAUCACUGCUUUAUUAUUAUUCAUUAUUACUACUACUCCCUCUCCCCCAUUAAUAUUUUUACUAUUUAUUAUAUCUUUAUUUACUUUUUAGGCAUUAGGACCACAUGCAAGGCAUGCACUUUAUACUCUGAGUAUUGUGCAUUUAAAAUAGCACUUUACAUUUACUGUGCAAUCGGGCAAUCUGCAAUAUAACUACGCACCUAACACUUUAGCACUUCAGCACUCUGCACUUUAAUCAGCCCUUUGACAACUCAUUUUAGCAUUUAACGCUAGUGAAGUACAUAUGGUCCCCUGACCCUUGGCCUGUAUGUUUCAUGAUCCACUAUCCUUUCAUUGUUCUUGCUUUUAUUUUUCAUUUUCUGUCCUAUUGUGUUUUCAAAGACACGUUUUCCCUCUCUGUAAUUAUUCCCCCUGCUCAUACUGGCCAUGAAGGCUAACUGUUCUACUUGUUGUUACUGUAGUUUUAUUGAUUUUAUUAUCUUAUGUUGUCAACAUCAACCUGCUGAAGGGAUCUAAAGAUGGAAAUUAGCCGUUGGCUAUAAUCUUGCAUAUUAACAUGUAUAUGUUUAUUAAUAUGUGUUGUCCCUGGUUUAAAUAAAUAAACUAAAACUAAACUAUUUAGUCAAUGAAAUGUACACACAGCAGUACAUAUUCCACCACUUUUUUUACAUUUCAGGGAAAGCUGAGCUUCCCUUGCAGUCUGAGAGCAAUCACCACUGUACUACAUUUACCUGUUUUUAUUUACUCCUGUAGCGUUAUCAGGCUGAAGUACUGUACCAUUUCUGACCUGGGAAUAGUCAGAGAUUUAAUGUAGUAAAAGUGAUCAGGUGGAUUUAAAAAUCACUACAAAGUAUAAGGCAGCCAGUGUAAGUUGGUUGAGACAGGAGUAGUUUGAUCAUGUGUCUCAGUGUUCAUCAUUCUUAAGGAAGACUGAACUGGUAAAAUCCAAAGAGACCAAAAAACUUGGGCAGUCAACAGCUAGCUGUAGGCUGUGUGAUAGAGCUAUGAUGCCAGCUGUCACUCCCUUUAGGAUUAAGAGGUUAUUUAAUGUGAGGCACAGUCUCAUCUCCGCCAGUCGUCUUUGAACUAUUAUCAAAGACACAUAAGGAGAGAACAUUUGAGGCUGUUUUUCUUCUACAUAACGGGGUUGUGGGUGUUAGCACAUACACAGUAAUUUGUAGAAUAACUUACACCAGGCCUGUGUACUGCAUCCAAUCAGGACAUGCUUUUCUCUCCAAGCUCCAUCUGUCGCUGAGGCAUGCCACUGUGUGCAUGACCCCAGCUAUGUGGGUGAGCUUUGGUGAGACUGUUAAGAGUUCUGAGGCCCAAAGCAGGAGAGAUAGGAGGAGUUGAAGACCUUGGCACGAGAACCUUUGUGGCUGACGGAGAGGGAAGAGUAACAGAUGCUUGGGUAAUCUUCAUGUAAUCUUCAAUAACACCCCUUAAAUUAUACAAAUAGUUUACUUUUUAAAUACAGCACAAGAGAGAAAUAUUGAGGAAAAGUACUGCAUGAUAUUUUUAUGCAGUGUAGAAUAAUUUAAGUAAAGUCAUGAUGCGGCUAAUUUGGUUGUGACUUUAGGUCAGAACGCUAGUUUUGUAUGUUCAUGUUAUUGGGUCAGCUACAACUUUGCUUGUGAGGAAGUUUACUGCUUUAUAGAAAUAUGAGAAAAAUUAUAUCAUUAACUCAUCGUACCAGGCUUCAGUGCAUAGAAGUUUUUUGUAAAUUCACAGUUCAAUAAACAUACUUUAUUGUGUUUGCAUUAGGAAGUUUUGAUGUUUUAUUUUACCUCCUGGAUCUCUAUCAGAAGGAAAUGGGAUGCAUAAGAAAGUAACCUCACCGUUUUUGGUUUCUUUACACCAUACAGUAUUUGCUGUUCCUAUAGAGGUUGGAGAAUAAAUAGCUAAAAGACAGGUAAAAUCUCUGCAGCUUGUGUACAACACGGCACAGAGCCAGAUCCACUACAACAAAUCACCCAACUACUGUAGGAGGUGUACAAUACCCAGGAAGAAAUAGUCUACGAAGCAAAACCGUCUCCUGCAAGUAUGCAAGCUAUCUCAGACUACAUGUGAAAGCCAAAACCACAGCAAAUGAAGAGUUGAAAGUUACACAACUGAUCUUACAGCUUCACAGACAUAUUUUGAUCUAUUUCCUUGAAAAAAUAUUCAAACUUUUAAUUUAGAUUUUUGUUCGAUUUUUAUUCAAUGAAAACAUGUUAUCAUCUGCAGUUGUUCAGCUUUCCCUGAAGGUCCAAAAUGUGUCCAUAAAGCCAAAGUACAUAUCAAACUGUGUUGCAGCGCACCCCUAAUGUUUGUCUACUGGCAAUUCAUCUGCAGUCGGCACAAACCCCUGAAUGUGCUCGCCAGGUUUACAUGCCCACAGGAAGACUUUGAGAAGCUGCGCCACAGAGUUAAUGCUGAAUCAACAACAGCUAAAGUAUAACUUCAGGCCUCCUGAAUUGCUAAUCAUGAAGUCGUAACAAGACCUCAGUUUGAUCUUUGAGAGCCUUAAAGGAGCCCACAGCGUCCCCUGGUGCGUUCAUUUCUAUUAAACCACAUCUCUAUGUUCUCCAUUUGCACUGAAGUCAAGGAGAAGUCACAGAGGGGGUUUAGACCAUCACCCACGUCUCCUUUGAUCUAAAUUUCCCUAUUUGGUAGUUUCAGCACUGUGUGUGCCAAAGUGCAUUGUGUACCAAAUAUGCUGUGUUUCUUGGAAAAAUAACAGUGACACCAAAAGUCUGCAGUAGGGAGAGGUUAAAAAGCAAUCAAGUCUUUAUGACUUUGAUUUGAUUUGACCACAGGAGAACAACGACUUCUAUCCUUAUGAUAACCUCAUUAAGUAAGGCUGACUUUUAUGUCUGUCAACGUAAUUAUACAGCACAAUGCCUUUCUUUUCAUGUCAGUCUUUAUUUAAAGUAGAAUUAUGCAUGUGCAAUUAAGGAAAAACUUCUAAGAGUUAAAAUUUUUAUUCCAAAUUAGUUAGAGUCCCACAGCCCCCCAACACAGCUGCUGUGACCCAAUACUAUCAUGUACACAGAAUUAUUUUUCAGGCUUUUUGUACUGUCCCAUGUGGCCAUAUAAUUCAUGCAUUUGCCCAAAAAGAUAAUGAAUCAAUUUACCAUUGAAAGAAAUCCAGAAUUUUUUAAGUGAGAUUAACAGUAAAGUUAGUUAUUUAGACUUUUUUUCAAGCGUUGAGGCUCAAAACGCAAUAUUCAGCACACUGCUCAGUUUUAAGAUGGAACUGUGUUUAAUGUACUAUAUUGCUGUUGAAAUAUGGCGUUCAUGCGGCCUAUUUAACAGACUAUUAGUCAUAUAAGUGAAAUUAGGCUCCUGAGCUUGCAUUCUCACAAAAGCUACCAUUCAUCUGGUGUUCAGCCUACUCUUUAUCAUAUCUCAUAGGUCGCUGACCUCACUUUGCUUUAAGCAAAAACAAACUUUCUCUGCAAAGAUAUACGAGCCCAGACCCAGUCUGUGCUCUAAGGUGAAGAGCACAAUGUGUCUUUGCAGAAGGCUAUUUUGAGAUCACUUUGCUCUUGUAAAUGUUCAGUUGCCUGCUGCUGUAUUUUGUCUGUGAGAUUUAUUCCUGAGCUUUGGCUUGUGUGUGUGUGAACAAUCAAUAGGAACAUAACCUGUUUAAAGCAGGUUGGCGGGGUCACACUGGAGGGCUACUGACACCGAGUACCAGUUUUUUACUCACAAAGGAAAAAAGAGACACAUGAAAGACAAUUCAAAAUGUAAAUUCCUCACUUUUGACACUGAGCUUCGAGAAAAAUACUAUAUCACGAAUCGAUACACAGGUUGAGUGGAUUUUUUGUUUGCUUUAAUCCCUGGUGAACUUGAAGACAGCGGUUUAGGUCAGGGUUCAUCUGAAUAUAAUUCAACAUGUAAAUCAGUGUUUUACAAAGGAAAGAAAAUAAACAUCACAUGUAUUUAGGACAGCACUAAGCCUGUUGUUGUUGUUGUUUUCCUUUUCAAGGUCAGACUCCUUUUCUUUUUUUCCUUCAUUGUGUGCUGCAAGGAAUCUGUAUGAACCACAGAGCUGACCCUCUGCCACUCACCUGCCUCCCUCCCGUUAGUAGAGCUACUGCUGAGGCCUCCAGACAAGGUCAGACAUCUUUUUAUUUUCAUUAUUAUGUCUGUAUCUCUUAAGUACGAAAGAGGAUAAGGGCAACAAGGAGAAAAAAAAAUACAGAAGGAAGAUUUUUUUAUUUCCAUUUUAAUAUUAAAGUUGAACUUUUGAGAUUAAAGUUGAAUUUUUAAAAGUUGAAAUGAAAGUAAUCCAAAUUUCUAGAUUAAGGUCAAAACCUGAGAUUUAAAAAAUCGAAAUUAUGUGAAUAAAGUUGAAAUUUCAGGAUUUUAAUCACACAAUUACAACAUUAUUCAUGAUAUUUCUUUAUCUCGAAAUCUCAACUGUAAUCUCGAAAUUUCAAAUUUUAAUCUUGAAAUUUCGACCUUAAUCUCCUUCCUGUCAUUUUUUUUCUACUUUUCAUGUGGCCCUGAUUCUCUUUAGUACUUAUGUGAACAGAUACACUGAUUUUGUCUUUUGUUAAAUUAUACUCCAUGUUUUGAGCAGAUGCACAGGCUAUUCUGGCUGACCACACUCACCUCCUAAAUGCAGAGUACAAGCUGCUUCCAUCUGGUUACACGUACACUCCGCUUAGGUGUAGUUGUGUCACAGCAGAUUUGAACUUGCUUGAUUAACGUGCACUGAAACCCCUGAGAGUUUUGUGUUUACUUGCUUAAUUUGUGCUAAUGACUCACUUUCUAUGCACAAUGUUUGCAUGCCAUAUCCCGUCUACGGGAGUGUCCCAACACAUGAACUAUUGCAAGAGAUGCCUUUUCAGCCUCUUUACAUUGGGCAUAGUUGAGGUUGACUACAUUGCAAGGAUUUGUUAUGUUUAAGGAUUAUACAGUUUGACUGUACAAUUACAGUCUAAGAAUUAAUCACAGUCUCACAAUGAUUAUGCAUAGAUCAAUUUCAUAACAGUACUAAUGAACAAAAAGUCUGUCUCUCCAUUUGGAAUUUUUUUUAUUUAUUUUUUUAUUUUAACAAAAAUAACACAACAUGACAUAAACCACCAAUAGACAGAACAGUGAUAAUCACAAAAACAGACAAACGAAGCUAAUUAAAAACAAUUAACACAAGCACACACCAAAAACAUCAUUACAACAUAAAAUAUACAGUGCAUCAGCAAAUUAAUUAAUAAAUGCUUCCCACCUUUCCAAAUACUGUCCAACAUCCCCUUUCAUAUGAGCAGUAUACCCCUCAAAAAAAUGGACGUUUAAUAAACAUCUUAAAUUGCUUGAUAUUCAAAGAAUUUGCACUGUCAGCUUCAAAAAUAAAUCUCUUUCCCAACAAAAUAAUUAAAUUAAUAAUAUAACUUCUUGUUUCUGUAACAUCUCCAAGCAUAACAGAAAAUAAGUCACAUGUAAAACACAUCUUCAUAGCAAUACACAUUCUUUGAACCUCCCAAAGACUGACUGUAAUUACCAAUCAUCCUCAUUCCCUUUGAUUAAAGGUAUGUGUCCUAUUAAUACUGUGGGUCAUAAGAGCUCCAGGAAAUUGGUGAACACACUGGACAAAAAUAGGCUGUUCCUCCACAAUUAUUUCUCUUAAGUGGCAUUAGCUGGACAGCACACAAGGUGUCCAAGAGAAAUUGAGAGAGAGGGAGGAGAUGUGCCAGACUUAACCAGAAUUACCGACCUAAUAAUAAAGUAUGAGCUAUAACAGAGCAAUGUAACUUGAAAAAUGGACUCAUAUAGAAUUACUGAAUUCAGGUAAAGAACCUUAUUAUGAGUCUGAACUGGACUCUUAGCCGGAAUGUAGCAUAUUUAGAGAAAAAUAGCUCUGUUGAUUAUUUAAUAAAAAAAUAUAACAAAUACAAUUGAUAAUAAAUAUAACAAAAAAAAAAAUACUGGUAGCUUUGUCUUAUUUUUCUUUUUGCUACUGUUCAUUGUAAUGGAUGGAUAAUUAUUUUAUGUAUUUUUAUUAAUAAUCUCUGUUCUUAGUCUGUUUCUUAAUUCCCUCCAAUGAACUUUUUACUUCUUUUACCCCUUUUACAUGGUAAAGAGCUCUUACUUAUUUUUUUUUUCAUUUUAUAUCAUCUUCUUGCCUUAGUCCGUCAGGUUUUACUCUUUCUUUUUACCAUUUUUAUCUUUUUAUCUCCAGUGUUUCCCUACACUAAGCUCUGUCCUCAUGCAUAGUCUCGGUGUCAAGCCAUAUCUUUUAAACAAUAUGCACCUGUGUGUGUGUGUGUCUUUGUGUGUGCGUGUAGGUCUAUGGGUGUGUGUGUAGGUGGGUGGGAGGGUUUAAUUGUUGUUUUUAGCCUUUGUGAGGCACUUUGAAUUACAUUCUUGUACGAAAAGUGCCAUAUAAAUAAAGUUGAAUUUGAAUUUGAAAACAUGUCAACAAAAGCUGAAAGUUUUAUCAAACGAAAGGAAACAGAGCGCAUGAUUUCUGUGUAGUAAAUAUGUGAGUAUGGCAGAUCAGAGAGGUCACAUGAUUCAGCAAACAUUAAUCCCAUGUUGUUUGCUCUGAAUCCCUAAAAAAUAAUGCUUUGUUGAUUGGUGUAAAAUUCCAGUAAAAAUGGUAAAAAUUUACAGUAAAAGGUCUGAAAUAUCAAAACUGCAAUUAAUGUUGAAAUGUGAAUAUUAUGUGUUUUCUCUAAAAUUGUGUAAUUCAGUUUGUGUGUGUGUGUGUGUGUGUGUGUGUGUGUGUGUGUGUGUGUGUGUGUGUGUGUGUGUGUGUGUGUGUGUUGUAAAUUUUUCUAAAUAGUAUUUUUGAUCGUUUUUCACUUUUUGUAUAUAUUCUUGCACUGCACCUUGGAAGGCCGGCUGUGAAUAAAUACCACCAUCAAUGCAUUUUUGGACCAUGCCUGUGUUUUUCCACUGUAUUGUGAUUGUUCUGAGUGAGAACCCUGCGACAGUUCAAUAUUUUUGUGUUCCUGUAACGUCAAAGAUUGUCAGCAGUAAAUAAUAUAGCAAGUUUAGAGCACCAAUGAGUUUGCCCUUCUUGUACUGAAUAUACCAAGUAUCAAUUUUUCAAAUUGAUUGUUAAGAUGAAGUCAAAGCUAUGAUAAUGGAAAAAUAAAAUCAACUGUUUGUCCAGUGAGGUUGGCAAAUGUGACAUCAUAGAGCAGGAGAAAGUUAGUACAACAAUACGGCAGCAGGAAAGACAUUAGGAAUACAAGCAGGGCACAAACCAGAUGGACCUGCAAGAUGUGCUACAUGAAAAUAAAAUAUUGUGUAAAUAAGACAAACAUAAAGAAAAGACAGAUGCUAAAUAAGCUAAACAGUUGAAAAAAUGUAUAGAUCACAAUAUAUUGUAUCGCAAUACUCACUGUAUUGUAAAAUGUUGAAAAUCCCAAUAAUAUCUUAUGGCCCAAGUAGCGUGAUAAUAUCCUAUCGUGGGGCCACUACUGACUUCCACCCCUAGAAUAUACAGUAUUCUAGUUCAGUUUUGUCAACAUGAAGUGUCAGGCUGUUACAAAAAUACUCAAAUGCACAAUCACAGAAAAAGUAAGAUUUUUUUUAAUUAAGCAAUAUAUUUUACAAUGUGCUUUCUGAAUCUAAUAGGUCACUUACAGGGAAAAAAAAAAAAAAAACUCAUCUGAUCCGGAGAAAGCAUUGAGUGCAGUGUGAUGUGUGACCACUGUACUGGGGGAAAAAUGGUAAAAGCUCUCGUAGUGUAGAGAAUCUUGCCAGCAGAGUUUGGAGCGUUCUAAAAGUGCAUUAUAUCCACAGGAAGAGGCCCUGCUUAGACAUGAAAUUGACUCCUGCUGUUUGCAACUUCUUUCACUCAGCUGGAGUCCUUCAAUCUAAAGAGCCUGGGGUUUCCAGAGCCCUCUCCCUCGUUCUAGUGAUAAAAGUGGGUUGUAAACAAACAGCAGCGCUGCCCCGAGAAUACUGACGCCAGCAAAAAUGCUGAAUUUCUUCAUAAAAGCAACUAUUUGCAUCACAGUCUCAAGUUAAUACAUCAGGAUAGCAUACAACCCAUUUUUUUUUUAUUUCAUAACUGAACAACACACUUCAUCAACAGCUGAGGUCUGUAUGUCUCAUAAUUUGUCUAAAGCUAUUAGCAUUUAGCCAAAUUUACUCUCCAAAUGCCUCGGCUGCUGAUGAAAACGCACAAUCAAAAAUCACAGUGAUCACUUUGAUAUUAUAAGUGCUUGUGUUUCUGCAUGGUUUAAUGAAUUAUUCAUCAUGAAGCUUUGCUUUUGAUUCAGAUUAGCAUCAAUAAGUGAAAGUGCAAAGAUGGUCAUUUUGCCAGUAUACCUUUUAGUAACCAUGUAAACAAAUAACUGCACAGAUUUAUUUCACAAACACUUUCUAUGAGAAAUAACUUACUGAAAAACCUAUUAAGAGAGGAUGCACUUUAGGAGCCCACGGUGCCAUUACAGAAAUUAAUGUGAGAAAAUGAUUCACUAAAACGAGCAUUUACCCUCGAGUACAACAGGCUGUUAAAAGAGAAAUAUAGCGGCUGUUUCUCAGAACUGAGCUUAAGAUGGUUUUCAGCCUUUGCCAGAUAGAUGCAACAUACGUGGUGUUACUUAUUCCAAUGGAUUUAUGCAUCUCUUUGUUUUGAUGAAAGUCUUUGCAUUGUCAUCUCAAAGUGGUCAUGAUUUGUUCUUAUGGUUAAAAAAAAAGUUUUUCUUUAGUCUCAACAUAACCGCUUAACUCAUUCAGACGUUGUCAAGCUGCAGAGAAGGACAGCACUUUUUCACUGGUCUGUCAAGUGCAUGUUGCUUUUAACAUGUAGCUUAAAAAUAGGGUUUUAAGCACAUCACUAUUCAUGAUUCUACCAAAGAAACAAUUUUGUCGGAGCAUUUUCAACUGUCAUUGUUUUCAUUUUGCAUUUUUGCAAGCAGAUCUCACUAAUUCAAUUUAUCAGUUUGUUUACCCUAAAAAAGGCAUCACAAUCCAACAUCAAGUACAGGCGUAACUGCAACACCCACUGACAUCUAAGGGUUACACUAAAUACAUGACAUUUCAACAGUUUUAUUGCUGAGUUAAGCUGCACUUUUUCGAGUUUUGCUUUGUGCAUUUAUUUAUAUUGAUUUUUGAAAGCUCAGCUGCUUCUUCUUUUUUGUCAUCAAAAGGCACAAUAAGUCUGUCACUGUCAGCUAAGGAUACAAAACUCUGACUAGAAAAGUAAAGAUGUGGAUGUAGGAAUGAAGAAGAUUCAUUGAUGCAGCUGUUGUGUGACAACUCCGGAUAUAUAAUGAGAAAAUAUACAGGGUUGCUUUUGUGCUUUGGUGUGUGUGUUUGAAGGUGAAAGUACAACUACAAAUAAAACUCACCUGUCCAUUUCAUUACAGACACUGAAUAACUCUUUCUCCCUGGAAACAUAAUUCAGAGGAUAAGUACUUUCAUGCACUGGCUUAAAUGCAGUGCUUUAACUGAAAAUAAACAGAUGAAAAUCUGUUUGAGGACUGUUGGUCAACCACCCAUCAAAUGCACUGACCUGCUUGUAGAACCACUCUGCUACAAAGCUGAUAGAAACAUCUUUAAAAACUUAAGCAUUGAAAUUAAGAAAGAGAGAUUUUCAAUAAUUAUUUAUACACAAAUAAUCAAAUAAAUAAAAAGAAAUAGCUGUAUUGCAGCAAACAAAACAACAGCAUUUAACAGUUUUAAGUUGUUUUAUUUACUGACCACCAUCAAGAACAAAAACUGCAACAGCAAAGUAAAUCGAAUACAAAAAGAGAAGAAGGGAAAAAAAAAAAAACAUCUCACAGUUGGGAGCCAGCUCCCAUUGUUCACAUUAAAGAGAUGGCUUUUUGAACUUGUUCCUUCACAACUGACACAUCACUAUUCAUCGAAAGAACUGUGAGUUACCAGCUCAGAUUUUGUUCCUGUUGUUCUGUUUGUUUUGCUUCAUAGUUCUUGUAUUUUUCUGAUAAUUCAUGCAACUGUAUAUGAAACAUCAGCCACAUGGUUGAACAAAGUCAUGUCGUCACAGUCCUUUAUAUCAGCAUGCUAAUUAUUCCGCCUUCCCAUGGGAGAAAAAAAACCCACUUAGGAUUUACUUUGUUUCACAACUGUGAGUCAUUAUUAUUUUGGCAUUCAAGGUUUUAGUUAAACCUUAAAUGCAGUUAGUCAUAAAGCACAUGCCAUUUUCAUGGAGUAAUUAGGAUGCAUAAUGUAUUAUGUUGAAUACACACCCAGUGGUCUCUUAAUGUCUCACCAUGUUGAAUUUAAAAGAAAAAAUUGACAUGAACUUUCCUCAGCGUGUAUAGGGAGCAUUAUGUGCCUGUAACAGACAUUGACUGGAGCUGUUAGGCAGAAGCAGCUGUGUUUUAUAAUGCAGUUUGCAUUCUCUGUUCCCCAUUAAACCCAUUCCUCGGGACAGACUCGAACUUGUGACCCCUCUAUUAGCCUUCAUGCACCCGCCCUGGUGAUUAGAGGAACAUUAGGAAAUUAAAGGCAAAUUGCAUUACCAGAGAAACAGACGGAGGUGCUGCUGAGGACCCAACAUGCACAGAACCUGCUGAUGCUCAGACUUUCCAUCCCUUUCAUCGGCCAAUGUGUGGUGCUUAAUGUCACCCUGCAGGUAGCAAUUUCUCAGGUGGUACAUUCUGAUAAAGGAAAAGACAGAGUGAGUGUUUUAAUCUCAAAGCUGGGUUAUGUGUUAGGGAAGACUGUAAAGUUAUUUUAGCCCUCAAAGUACUCAGGCAUAUUAAUAAGAUGCAAAUCACUUCACAACAUGCAGAAACUGUGUUAACACAUACUCAGGGGUUCUGAGGAAAUAUGUCCCUCAUCUGUAACUAUUUUGAGCAGAUAAAAUGUGAUGAUGCAGCCAGAGAAAAAGAUAAAUUGAUCCCCAGCAGAAUUUAUGUUUCUCUCAGUGGGGCAGUAUGCUGUAAGCACUUCACCAACACACUGCUGUAUAUGUAGCACUGUGUGUCAGCAGCACUAGUGGCAAAAAAGAGAAAUGUUGCAAUCACCAGACAUUUGGUGGCCAAACCUUCAUGGUUUUCAGUGAAAAAAAAAGUGGGCUUCAUCCUAUAUACCAGUGCAAGCAAUAUCCUAGCAUGAAAUGCAGGGAUGUAUUUGAUCAAAAUAGUGUUUGAAUUAAGCUUAAGCCUCAACACAGACGAAUGCAGUAACUAAUGCUAGCACAGCCACCAUCACAGCUCACUGCACUUAACCUGAUGGGACUGAAAAUUUGAAUGGAAGAGGCCUUUGCAGCUGUGGUGGUGCUACUUUUUGACAGCUUUUCUCCUUAAUUAGGUUGUAAUUAUGCAUUUCAAGAAAACAGAGGAAUAAAAUUGCAGAGAACACCCGGUGGAGUGCUUGAAAAAAAUCCUUAUCAGUGCAGUCAAAUGACGAGUGGGGGAGGGUAGCAGGUCAGCGUAAACUGGUUUGCAGGCAGUGCAUCACAGCUAAGGUUAUGAAAUCACAGACUAAAGAAAUGAAGGUUACGAAGACGUGCUGCAGAAAAAAUAACUUCCUGUGCCAUGGGUGCCUUGAGCUACUCAGACCAGUAUUCUUUAUUAUUGUGAGAUAGGGCAAAUUUUGGAAUUUUUGCAUUUAACUCUAUAAAAAUGGCCAGAGUCUUUAGUAAAAAAUGACACAAAAGGAUCUUAAUGAGUUUUAUGAGGUGUCAAAGGUUGAUCCUGAUCCAGACAAAAUUCCAGAUACUGUGAUCCAGAACACACAAAAAUAAGGGUGUCGUUGGAAUUUUCAAUGCUGAAAGAUAACCAAUGGGUGGCACAGUGGCGUAGAUGGGUGGCACAGUGGUGUAGUGGUUAGCACUGUCGCCUCACAGCAAGAAGGUCCUGGGUUCGAAUCCGGGUCAGGGCAUUUCU
This 16186-nucleotide long non-coding RNA is filed under the name Xyrichtys novacula (pearly razorfish). The record is from RNAcentral. Lineage: Eukaryota; Metazoa; Chordata; Actinopteri; Labriformes; Labridae.